GACGAACGCUGGCGGCGUGCCUAAUACAUGCAAGUUGAGCGCUGAAGGUUGGUACUUGUACCAACUGGAUGAGCAGCGAACGGGUGAGUAACGCGUGGGGAAUCUGCCUUUGAGCGGGGGACAACAUUUGGAAACGAAUGCUAAUACCGCAUAAAAACUUUAAACACAAGUUUUAAGUUUGAAAGAUGCAAUUGCAUCACUCAAAGAUGAUCCCGCAUUGUAUUAGCUAGUUGGUGAGGUAAAGGCUCACCAAGGCGAUGAUACAUAGCCGACCUGAGAGGGUGAUCGGCCACAUUGGGACUGAGACACGGCCCAAACUCCUACGGGAGGCAGCAGUAGGGAAUCUUCGGCAAUGGACGAAAGUCUGACCGAGCAACGCCGCGUGAGUGAAGAAGGUUUUCGGAUCGUAAAACUCUGUUGGUAGAGAAGAACGUUGGUGAGAGUGGAACGCUCAUCAAGUGACGGUAACUACCCAGAAAGGGACGGCUAACUACGUG
RNAcentral lists this ribosomal RNA (497 nucleotides) under uncultured bacterium. Its description in RNAcentral is "partial 16S ribosomal RNA". It matches the Rfam family "Bacterial small subunit ribosomal RNA", at positions 28 to 507 of the family's 1533-position model. The record is from RNAcentral.